RNAcentral lists this ribosomal RNA (1008 nucleotides) under Oceanobacillus sp. RNAcentral's name for it is "bacterial SSU rRNA". It matches the Rfam family "Bacterial small subunit ribosomal RNA", at positions 354 to 1355 of the family's 1533-position model. Lineage: Bacteria; Bacillati; Bacillota; Bacilli; Caryophanales; Bacillaceae. The record is from RNAcentral.
GUAGGGAAUCUUCCGCAAUGGACGAAAGUCUGACGGAGCAACGCCGCGUGAGUGAUGAAGGUUUUCGGAUCGUAAAACUCUGUUGUUAGGGAAGAACAAGUCGGGUAGUAACUGACCCGGCCUUGACGGUACCUAACCAGAAAGCCCCGGCUAACUACGUGCCAGCAGCCGCGGUAAUACGUAGGGGGCAAGCGUUGUCCGGAAUUAUUGGGCGUAAAGCGCUCGCAGGCGGUCCUUUAAGUCUGAUGUGAAAUCUCGCGGCUCAACCGCGAACGGUCAUUGGAAACUGGAGGACUUGAGUACAGAAGAGGAGAGUGGAAUUCCACGUGUAGCGGUGAAAUGCGUAGAGAUGUGGAGGAACACCAGUGGCGAAGGCGACUCUCUGGUCUGUAACUGACGCUGAGGAGCGAAAGCGUGGGGAGCGAACAGGAUUAGAUACCCUGGUAGUCCACGCCGUAAACGAUGAGUGCUAGGUGUUAGGGGGUUUCCGCCCCUUAGUGCUGAAGUUAACGCAUUAAGCACUCCGCCUGGGGAGUACGGCCGCAAGGCUGAAACUCAAAAGAAUUGACGGGGGCCCGCACAAGCGGUGGAGCAUGUGGUUUAAUUCGAAGCAACGCGAAGAACCUUACCAGGUCUUGACAUCCUCUGCUAUUCCUAGAGAUAGGAAGUUCCCUUCGGGGACAGAGUGACAGGUGGUGCAUGGUUGUCGUCAGCUCGUGUCGUGAGAUGUUGGGUUAAGUCCCGCAACGAGCGCAACCCUUGAUCUUAGUUGCCAGCAUUAAGUUGGGCACUCUAAGGUGACUGCCGGUGACAAACCGGAGGAAGGUGGGGAUGACGUCAAAUCAUCAUGCCCCUUAUGACCUGGGCUACACACGUGCUACAAUGGAUGGAACAAAGGGAAGCGAAACCGCGAGGUCAAGCAAAUCCCAUAAAACCAUUCUCAGUUCGGAUUGCAGGCUGCAACUCGCCUGCAUGAAGCCGGAAUCGCUAGUAAUCGCGGAUCAGCAU